UAGAUACCCCACUAUGCCCGGCCUUAACACAACAAUCAAAUAACAUAUUGUUCGCCAAAUAACUACGAGUAAAAACUUAAAAUUUAAAAGACUUGACGGUACUUCACAGCAGCCUAGAGGAGCCUGUCUAAUAACCGAUACCCCACGAUUAACCCAACCAGGGCUGGCCCAAUCAGUCUAUAUACCGCCGUCGCCAGCUCACCUUGUGAAAGAAACAAAGUGAACAAAAUAGCCACACACUAGGACGACAGGUCGAGGUGUAACUAAUGCCCGGGUAAAAGAUGGGCUACAUUUUCUAACCCAGAACAUACGGAUAAGAUAUGAAACUAAAAACUGAAGGAGGAUUUAGUAGUAAAAUAAGAACAAAAUACUUACUUGAAACUAAAGCAAUGAAGUGCGUACACACCGCCCGUCAUCCCUGUCAACAAACAUAAA
Molecule: ribosomal RNA, 435 nt
Filed under: Dendrelaphis bifrenalis
Lineage: Eukaryota; Metazoa; Chordata; Lepidosauria; Squamata; Colubridae
Description: partial 12S ribosomal RNA
Source: RNAcentral